AGAGACCCGCUAGCGCACAAGUAGAGUGAUCGAAAGAUGAAAAGCACUUUGGAAAGAGAGUUAAAAAGCACGUGAAAUUGUUGAAAGGGAAGCGCUUGCGACCAGACCUGCCCGUGGGUGAUCAGCCGCCGUUCUCGGCGGUGCACUCGCCCGCGAUCAGGCCAGCAUCGGUUCGAGCGGCCGGACAAAGGCCGCGGGAAUGUAGCUUCCUCCGGGGAGUCUUAUAGCCCGCGGCGCAAUGCGGCCAGCCCGGAUCGAGGACCGCGCUUCGGCUAGGAUGCUGGCGUAAUGGUUGCAAGCGACCCGUCUUGAAACACGGACCAAGGAGUCUAACAUCUAUGCGAGUGUUUGGGUGUCAAACCCAUGCGCGUAAUGAAAGUAAACGGAGGUGAGAACCCGUCAGGGCGCAUCAUCGACCGAUCCUGAUGUCUUCGGAUGGAUUUGAGUACGAGCAUAGCUGUUGGGACCCGAAAGAUGGUGAACUAUGCCUGAAUAGGGUGAAGCCAGA
RNAcentral lists this ribosomal RNA (508 nucleotides) under Neoprotoparmelia pulchra. RNAcentral describes it as "eukaryotic LSU rRNA". It matches the Rfam family "Eukaryotic large subunit ribosomal RNA", at positions 329 to 856 of the family's 3401-position model. Lineage: Eukaryota; Fungi; Ascomycota; Lecanoromycetes; Lecanorales; Parmeliaceae. The record is from RNAcentral.